This 420-nucleotide ribosomal RNA is filed under the name Zobellella aerophila. Its description in RNAcentral is "bacterial SSU rRNA". It matches the Rfam family "Bacterial small subunit ribosomal RNA", at positions 79 to 493 of the family's 1533-position model. Lineage: Bacteria; Pseudomonadati; Pseudomonadota; Gammaproteobacteria; Aeromonadales; Aeromonadaceae. The record is from RNAcentral.
CUAUCUCUCUGCCGGCGAGCGGCGGACGGGUGAGUAAGGCUUGGGUAUCUGCCCAGUCGAGGGGGAUAACAGUUGGAAACGACUGCUAAUACCGCAUACGCCCUACGGGGGAAAGGAGGGGAUCUUCGGACCUUUCGCGAUUGGAUGAGCCCAAGUGAGAUUAGCUAGUUGGUGAGGUAAUGGCUCACCAAGGCGACGAUCUCUAGCUGGUCUGAGAGGAUGACCAGCCACACUGGGACUGAGACACGGCCCAGACUCCUACGGGAGGCAGCAGUGGGGAAUAUUGCACAAUGGGGGAAACCCUGAUGCAGCCAUGCCGCGUGUGUGAAGAAGGCCUUCGGGUUGUAAAGCACUUUCAGUGGUGAGGAAGGAAGUAAGGUUAAUACCCUUGCUUAUUGACGUUAGCCACAGAAGAAGCAC